AACGAACGCUGGCGGCAUGCCUAACACAUGCAAGUCGAACGAGACCUUCGGGUCUAGUGGCGCACGGGUGCGUAACGCGUGGGAACCUGCCCUUAGGUUCGGAAUAACUCCCCGAAAGGGGUGCUAAUACCGGAUAAUGUCUUCGGACCAAAGAUUUAUCGCCUUUGGAUGGGCCCGCGUUGGAUUAGCUAGUUGGUAGGGUAAAAGCCUACCAAGGCGACGAUCCAUAGCUGGUCUGAGAGGAUGAUCAGCCACACUGGGACUGAGACACGGCCCAGACUCCUACGGGAGGAAGCAGUGGGGAAUAUUGGACAAUGGGCGAAAGCCUGAUCCAGCAAUGCCGCGUGAGUGAUGAAGGCCUUAGGGUUGUAAAGCUCUUUUACCCGGGAUGAUAAUGACAGUACCGGGAGAAUAAGCUCCGGCUAAAUCCGUG
RNAcentral lists this ribosomal RNA (433 nucleotides) under uncultured bacterium. Its description in RNAcentral is "partial 16S ribosomal RNA". It matches the Rfam family "Bacterial small subunit ribosomal RNA", at positions 29 to 507 of the family's 1533-position model. The record is from RNAcentral.